RNAcentral lists this ribosomal RNA (402 nucleotides) under Triticum aestivum (bread wheat). RNAcentral's name for it is "partial small subunit ribosomal RNA". The record is from RNAcentral. Lineage: Eukaryota; Viridiplantae; Streptophyta; Magnoliopsida; Poales; Poaceae.
AUGUAUGAUACAAAGAAAAAAUUGAAGUAUGCGGUGAUAAAGUGGGCUAUGUCUACGCAGAGUGUUUUCCGGACACACGUAUCAAGUCCAACAAACUAUACUGUGAAAUGUGUUGAAACAGGUUGUCCUGGGAAGGUGCACGGGCACGUGCUGAAGUAUAACAUCCACUCGGUUGUCACCAAUGUCGUCCCAUAUAAUUGUGUGAGGAAAAACCUUCAGGUGAAUCAUCCAAACCUGACUUCACCAACACCACCGACACAGACCGUGACAGACGAGGUUAUCUAUGGUCAUGGUUAUCGUGAGCCUCGCCCACCGCCUCAGCGUUUAUCACCUUUCGGUCCUCGUCCGAGGAAGACCCAGAUGCGUCGUCGUCCCAGCAGUGAUAUGAUUAUCUAUGUAUGA